Lolium rigidum is the source of this 1836-nucleotide long non-coding RNA. RefSeq lists it as uncharacterized. The transcript is spliced from 9 exons. The record is from RefSeq and is a predicted model, not a curated record. Lineage: Eukaryota; Viridiplantae; Streptophyta; Magnoliopsida; Poales; Poaceae.
UGCGAUACACCACCAGUGGUUCCUGCAAGUCUACAUGGCCCCCAAUCGCAAGCACCACACGUAUGCACCUGCUGCUCAUUUACAUGAGCAAAACUGCUGAUGCUGCUACCAUACGUGAAACCUAGCCUGACGGCUCAGAGCUUCUGUGAGGUUGGAUGAGCUUUGCCGACCUGGACGGCGAUGGGGAAGACGACCAAGACAUUAGGGCAUCUCGAGCCUGACCAGCCUGAUGCCCUGCAAAAAGACGCCAGCAUACCUUGUGCUCAUUUAGAUCAAGACAACUGCUGCUGCCAUCCGUAACCUAGCCUAGCACCGCAGAUGGCUCAGGGAGGAGCAGGAGGUGAAGCGGGAUGAGGCAGGCGCAUCCGCUAGCGCUGCGGGAGGGCUCUGGUUGUCGACUACAAGCUGCUAUACCCCAUCUGUUCCUGCCAGUCUACGAGGCCCCCAAUUGCAAGUGGCGGGGAGGCGCUCUGGUUGCUGCCGCGGAUCCACUACAGGGUCUACACAGUCGUUUCUUCCUGCAAGUCUCUGAGGCCCCUCUAUUGCCAGCAGCCAGAGUAUGCAUGUGCUCAAUUAGAUGAAGAAAUCUAUAGUUGUUGCUGCCAUCCGUGAUACCUUGCCUAGCACGGUGGAUGGCUGAGGGAUGAGGGACGAGGAAGAGCUAAAGCGGGAGGAGGCGGGUGCAUUCGGAAGCGCUGCGGGGAGGGCUCCGGUUGCUUGCUGCAGAUCAACUAGAAGCUGCUAUAUGUCAUCGGUUCCUGCCAGCCUACGAGGCCCUCAAUUGCAAGGUGAAUGGAACUUUCCAAGCCCAAGAGCAUGCUGGUAGUACUCUGUUGACAACUUCUUCCCCAUGUUGAAGAGCAUGGUUCAUUGAGAUGUGCUUGUUGUAUGAGUGCUGGAAAUCUUCAACGUUUUCCCCUGAUCCCUGCUCCCUGGUCUGGCAGCCAUCCAUUGCCGGUCGAUUCGGACCCAUUCAUGAGCAGGGAGGUUGGCCGUGGGAGGGUUCUGCUCGCCUGCGAUGCAGCAUCAACCAGCAGAACUCGAUGACGGCGACACGAGCCACAGAGUGCUACUACCCAUUCAUCUUCUUUGCCCCUGGGAAGCUCGGGGUCGCUCUAUCCAUCAGGUUCUGGGCGGCUGGAAGAUCCAGAGACAACUUGGCGCUCUACUUCCCUGUGUCCUCUGCCGCAACAGGCUGACGCAGCCCAUGGGCUCUGUCCUCACAGUCUCCUCUGCAUGAUGCUGCCCGAGUGUAAAAGAAUACCAUCUUGCACAGCUUUUACUGGCUAUGCGUCUCCACCGAUGGUGUCAUCAACGCCUGGGCAUGGGUGCUGGAUGGUGGCACCUGCAUCAACGCUGACUUCUACAGCUGGGCCAGUUCAAGGCACUGUUCCAUUGUUCUUCAAUGAAGAGAUCCUGUUGUGCCCGACCACCAUGACGCUCCGCAAAAAGCAGCCAGAAUAUGCAAGUGCUCAAUUAGAUGAAGAAACCUAAGCCGAUGUUUCCAUUCGUGAUACCUUGCCUAGCACGGCGGACGGCUGAGGGACGAGGAGGAGCUCAAGCGGGAGGAGGCAGGCGCAUCUGCAAGCGCUGCGGGGAGGUGCUCCAGUUUCUGCUGUGGAUUGACUACGAGGUAUAUGCCAUUGGUUCCUGCCAGUCUACGAGGCCCUCAAUUGCAAGGUUACCACUGCUACCAUUCUCACAUCACAUCACCAGUGUUUUAUAUGAGUUUUGAGGCAUUGAUGUAUAGUUAAAUCAAACCACUCCUGUGGUCUAUAUGUACAUGUACCCAAGGCCUUGUUCUGGCCAAGUAUUCAAAAUAUUUAGUGUUGAUGA